GGGCCUAUGGUCUAGUUGGUCAUGACGUCACCCUCACACGGUGGAGGUCCUGGGUUCAAAUCCCAGUGGGCCCA
RNAcentral lists this transfer RNA (74 nucleotides) under Candidatus Methanofastidiosia archaeon. RNAcentral's name for it is "tRNA-Val". It matches the Rfam family "tRNA". From Rfam's summary of the family: Transfer RNA (tRNA) molecules are approximately 80 nucleotides in length. Their secondary structure includes four short double-helical elements and three loops (D, anti-codon, and T loops). Further hydrogen bonds mediate the characteristic L-shaped molecular structure. tRNAs have two regions of fundamental functional importance: the anti-codon, which is responsible for specific mRNA codon recognition, and the 3' end, to which the tRNAs corresponding amino acid is attached (by aminoacyl-tRNA synthetases). tRNAs cope with the degeneracy of the genetic code in two manners: having more than one tRNA (with a specific anti-codon) for a particular amino acid; and 'wobble' base-pairing, i.e. permitting non-standard base-pairing at the 3rd anti-codon position. RNAcentral also lists the same sequence under 1 other name. The record is from RNAcentral. Lineage: Archaea; Methanobacteriati; Methanobacteriota; Candidatus Methanofastidiosia.